GCCUGGCAUGUUAUCACGUGCUUUCAAUCUCUGCUACCAGGGAGGCCAACCUUAGUGGAUCAGUUGAGCUUUGGAUUUGCAAGCUACAGGAGGUCUAAAGCUGAUCCAGUGUGUGCACUAAGUCUGGCACCAAUAUGGUGGACUCCUCAGGAGGAGGGGAGCCAGCAUGCUGACUAAGGAGGGACAAACUUGCCCAGGUCAAAAACAGAAGAGGCUAAAGUUCCAUGCCUAUCAAUAGUGGAAUGAGGCCUGCGAGUGACCAUUAUAGAUACAGUCAGAGCUAGAAAGAGACAGGC
RNAcentral lists this non-coding RNA (296 nucleotides) under Phascolarctos cinereus (koala). The record is from RNAcentral. Lineage: Eukaryota; Metazoa; Chordata; Mammalia; Diprotodontia; Phascolarctidae.